This 1030-nucleotide long non-coding RNA is filed under the name Sorghum bicolor (sorghum). RNAcentral describes it as "long non-coding RNA (SBIC_LNC003601)". Lineage: Eukaryota; Viridiplantae; Streptophyta; Magnoliopsida; Poales; Poaceae. The record is from RNAcentral.
ACAUUAAGUGGCUUAAUGCACUUACAAUCUCCCCCUUUUUGGUGAUUGAUGACAACCUUGAUUAAAGCUUACAAAAGAUAAUAAAUUUAAGCUCUCGGGUUUAAUGAUUUAUUUGAAGCUCCCCCUUAAUAUGUGCAAUAUGAAUGGAAUUCAUAAUGAGACCUAUAAAGGUCAAUUUGCACAUUUUAAGUGAGUGACAAGCUCCCCCUAAAUCAUUGCAUCCGGUGCAAGUGAAUGUGAACAAUAUAACCGAGAUGCACAUGACAUCUAUAAAUCACACAAGAAUAAAUACAAAACAUACACCAACACAUGUCAGGGCAGCACAUUUGCAAAAAAAGAAAUCUAAAAAUUAUAACCAACACACAUAGCAAACAUCACAUAGAUUUCCCAAGUCCACAAGUCACUAAGAUAAAGAUCAUGUCUUAUUCAACAUCUCACAUAGACUCAACAUGAUACAAGAUGAUAUAACAAGCCUCAUGAUAAUAUAACAAGUCUCAUGAUAAUAUAACAAGUCUCAUGAUACAUCAAAAAGCUCAUCAUAGACACUACAGCUGCAGUACAUAUCUCAGAAUAUGCCAAACAUGAAGAACAUCUGAAGCUUUAAUCAAUAUCUCUCCCCCUUUGUCAUCCAUCUCCAAAAUGUACAGGAACAAGCAUAUGACAUAGGAGGGCUGCAAGCUGUAACCGGCUAUCUCUCACUCGUCAUAAUCAUCAUCAUCAUCGUCAUCUCCAUACCUCUGAUCCGGAGAGCGAGAAGUACCUGGUGGGCGAGAACCACUCUGUCCUGGGUCACCUAGAUGGCCAUAGCCACCAAAGCCACUAGAAGUCCCUGCACCACCGAAGCCAUGGUCAUAGUCUUGUGACUCACCAAAGUAAAGAAAACUAUCCCACCAGUGCUCCUGUGACUGCUGCUGCAAGGGCGCCUCAGGCUGCUCGCCCUGGUCUGUCUGACCCUACUGUACCUAUGGUGGAACUGGCUGUGACUGAGAGUAUCCACCAAACUCCUGCUGAAACUCUCUCUCAUAUCUAG